UGAGCAAUCUGCCCUUCUCAUCGGAAUAAGCGUUGGAAACGACGUCUAAUGCCGAAUACGACCUCCUUUCGCAUGAUCGGAGGUGGAAAGCUCCGGCGGAGAAGUAUGAGCUCGCGGCCUAUCAGCUAGUUGGUGUGGGUAACGGCCCACCAAGGCGACGACGGGUAGCCGGCCUGAGAGGGUGACCGGCCACACUGGGACUGAGACACGGCCCAGACUCCGUACGGGAGGNAGCG
RNAcentral lists this ribosomal RNA (236 nucleotides) under uncultured bacterium. Its description in RNAcentral is "partial 16S ribosomal RNA". It matches the Rfam family "Bacterial small subunit ribosomal RNA", at positions 118 to 353 of the family's 1533-position model. The record is from RNAcentral.